Molecule: ribosomal RNA, 253 nt
Filed under: uncultured bacterium
Lineage: Bacteria
Description: partial 16S ribosomal RNA
Rfam family: Bacterial small subunit ribosomal RNA
Source: RNAcentral
UACAGAGGUCUCAAGCGUUGUUCGGAUUUAUUGGGCGUAAAGGGCGCGUAGGUGGUUGAUCAAGUCUGGGGUGAAAUCUUUCGGCUUAACCGGAAAAGUGCCUUGGAUACUGGUCAGCUGGAGGGAGGUAGGGGCAGUUGGAACUUCCAGUGGAGCGGUGAAAUGCGUUGAUAUUGGAAGGAACGCCGGUGGCGAAAGCGAGCUGCUGGACCUCUUCUGACACUGAUGCGCGAAAGCUAGGGGAGCAAACGGG